This 32-nucleotide ribosomal RNA is filed under the name Gillisella vitis. Its description in RNAcentral is "Agrobacterium vitis partial 23S rRNA 1.3-kb fragment A". The record is from RNAcentral. Lineage: Bacteria; Pseudomonadati; Pseudomonadota; Alphaproteobacteria; Hyphomicrobiales; Rhizobiaceae.
AUAAGGUAUCUUACUCUGAAUACAUAGGGGUA